RNAcentral lists this transfer RNA (66 nucleotides) under Barsine fuscozonata. RNAcentral describes it as "tRNA-Ala". The record is from RNAcentral. Lineage: Eukaryota; Metazoa; Arthropoda; Insecta; Lepidoptera; Erebidae.
AGGAUUAUAAUUUAAAAAAAAUAUUUGAUUUGCAAUCAAAAAAUAUUAUUACUAUAAUUUAUCUUA